Molecule: small nucleolar RNA, 166 nt
Organism: Arachis duranensis
Lineage: Eukaryota; Viridiplantae; Streptophyta; Magnoliopsida; Fabales; Fabaceae
Product: small nucleolar RNA snoR135
Exons: 1
Source: RefSeq, a predicted model, not a curated record
AGUGCAGGGAUUGUGUGUAUCAGGGCUGUGCUGAAUUCAAUGCACUCUUCUGAAAGAUUUCCCUGCAAGAUUACUAUGAGAAAAUGGGUAGAGUCACAUACUGAAUGACAAGAUGGCAGUGCUGCUGCAUUAAACCAUCCAGUCUACAACUAAGUUUGUCAAAGUU